RNAcentral lists this ribosomal RNA (2999 nucleotides) under Triticum aestivum (bread wheat). RNAcentral's name for it is "partial small subunit ribosomal RNA". The record is from RNAcentral. Lineage: Eukaryota; Viridiplantae; Streptophyta; Magnoliopsida; Poales; Poaceae.
GCCCAACUAGCCGCCAUGACCACGUCUCCUUUUAUUCCUGCGCGUGUUACUGUAGCGACGAGGGGAAGGGAUAAGGUCCCGAGCGCCGCGUCCAGCAUCCUCUCUCAUCUCCCUUUCCCCUCGCUCGCUUCCUCCUCCCGAGCCCGCAGAUCCCUAGCCGCCUUCUCCCGCAGCACCUCAGCCGCCUCCUCUCGCUCUCCACCCAGCUGCUCGCCACCACUUCGCCGCCUCCUCCUCCCCUGCUCCUCUGACCUCGAAGCCCCAACGCAUGGUUGCCGCCGCCGCUCGUGUCUUUCUUCCCGCAGCCUCCUGCGGGACGAUGCCUCCCCAUCCUCCAUUAGUCGCCGCUGUGGGAUGUGGUUCUGGACCGGUCCCAGGUCGCUGCCGAGGAGCAGAGGAGGACGAUCGUGGGGGGAAGGAGCAGAGGAGGACGUCACUGGGAAGGUGCAGCGAGCCUCCCCAUCCUCCAUUAGCCGCCGCUGUGGGAUGUGGUUCUGGACCGGUCCCAGGUCGCUGCCGAGGAGCAGAGGAGGACGACAGCGAGGGGAAGGAGCAGAGGAGGACGUCACUGGGGAAGGUGCAGCGAGCCCGAAGGUCCAGACGGCGCCCUCGUCAUGUGCCGGAUGCUGCUCGCCAGCCCUCUUUGUCGUCCUCAAUCUAGAUGUGUGAAGAUCCGAGACAGAAAAGAGGAGGAAGAAUUUUGACGAAGAGUUCGGUGAUGGGGAACAUGCCGACACGGGCUGCCGGUCCACCCAGCGCGCGGGUAGCUGUGCAGAUCUCUAAUCGGCACCCUCCCUAUGGCACCGCCCCACAAUGCCGACCAGCAUUGAAUAUGCCAUGGAUCCGCCAAGCAGACGCCUCAGGACGGUCAUCCAGAAUGCUAUCCUGCCUCCAUUCAAGCCCAGGCGCUCUUCACUUGCUUCAUAAUUUCUGAAUAAAUGCAUCUAUGUUCAGUCUGAUUUUAAAUUGCACUGAAACUAGAAAGCAGUGGAUGCCUUGGUGUUAUGUUCCAACAAAAAAUAGGAAGGAAGCAGCAAGUGGAAUAGAACUUGAAGGAUAAAAAAUAUGAGGAAAAUGAAAGCAGCUACCACGCCCAUCUGAAAAGCUAAAAAAUUGGAGAAGGUCCUGAAAGUAAAAAGCAAGAGGUCAAGGAUUCAGUCUGCCAAGUCUUUGUAUGAUUAAAAUUUUAGUGGCUAGCAUAAUUUUUUGUACCAGUAUGUUUCCGACUUUCCGCCUGCAGAUCAACCACAUCUAUGUGUUUGAAAAGAACCCGCUUUCCUCAAAAGAUUGCUACUACCUGCUUCUUUACAACACUUCACGGAUGACUUGUGAUGACACCUGGUAUUAAUUAGUACAGUAGGAACGAUGGGUUUUUCAUCACAUUCUUUGAUGUCAAUCAUUGCAAAGUUGUAACGUACUAAAUCCUAAUAUGCCAAUGCAGCAAAAAAAGUCUUAUUUUUCAGAUUGCACCAAGAAAAAACUGCUUCCAUGGCUUCCUCGGCCUCCCUGUCGUGCUCGAGAUGGAGAUGCCUCCCUGCUUCACCACUACUAGGUACCUCUUCUUCCUCAGCUUCGUCCUCCUCCUAGCAGUGGAUGCUGCAGGCCCAUCUCCCCAAGCACCCCACCCUCGCCAUGGAUUGAGUGGGAGGUCAGUUUGCUCUGAAUCCCUGAGAGUUUUGGUCCUGCAUCUCUUGCUCAAUCAGCGGGCUGAUCUUUGCCGGCGCCGGGGUGACAUCACCAGAACUGCUGCAUCUUCAUCUGGUUUGCUUUAGAUAACGAGAGCAAGGCAAGCAGCUUGCCAAAAACAAAGGUGGAUGCAGAAGGAACAUCACUUGUUGGCUCCCUUGACAGAAAUGCGGAGUUUUACAUGAUUUACGAGGACAUGUCUUCUUGGAUGGAUGUGGAUUAUUUGGUUCCUUUGUGGGAACUGAUAACAUUUUGUUUACAUAUUUACUGCUCGACCGUAUGCCCAUAAGGAUUGUUUGAUCUCUUUUUCUACGCAGACUGCAGGUGUAGGUCCCCUGCUCACUAAGGACAAGGAUCAGAAUCGGGACAUGAAUCUGAACUAUGAUAUUUGGAUUUACGAUCUCAUUCAUGGAAAUUGUGCAAGAUAAUGAGCAACAGACAUUAUUUCAUCCCAGUGAAGCUCCAGUACAUGAUUGUACACCUCCUAUGCCCGCUUAAUUGUGUGUUCAUUUUGUUAAUCAAGAAGCAUUUGAUUUUAUGGCUGGCGCGACUGCUUCGUGUGCUGCCUCGAGUCGCGCGGCCACUACGCCCGCGCCGAGUCGGAGGCCGCUGCCACUCUCGACGCCCUCCGCUGCGCGCUCUCGCCGGCGGCGUUCGCAAAGCCUUGUCGCGGCGCUGCAAGUGUUGCCCCCCUCCUCCCCAAGGGCAAGGUGAAGGAAGGUGCCUGUGUGGUUCUUCUGCAGCUCGCAGCGAGGAUUGCUGUGUCCAACCUGCACAAGAAUGCCAAGAAGUCCUCGGAGACGAUUAAGGACACAUACCUGUACUACAACGAGAGAUAUCUGGGCUGCUUCUUUGUGGCUUCCAAACAUGAAAUGUUUGUUUGGAAGUUAGUUUAGUUUUUUGUUGUGGAUUCACAGCUUCUCACAUGUACCAUCGUUUUAGACCUUUAGGUUUCGAAAGAAACUAAAUGAAGAUACGGUGGUAUGGUCUCAAUAGUACAACUUAAAGCCUUCAAAGCUUUAUAUUUUCUCUGAAAUUUGCUCUUGAAGAAUUAUGUAUCUAUGUUAGAUCUGGUGAGUAAAGACGGCUUCCAAGCAGAGGAUGCGGGAGUGUUGGCCACAUUUGGUUUUCGACUUGGGUGUCUAAAUAUUCUCACAAUACUUGGCUCCCUUUCGCCCUUGCGCCAUUGGCGUAACGAGUCAUCUAGUAAAAGUAAAAGAUAGGCCCUUCGCAGAGGGAAGCAGAGGUUGUCAUGCACUUUUAUGGUUGGAUGUACAAAAUCUUAAUGUGAAAGAACGUCACUUUAUAUUGCC